Non-coding RNA from Drosophila suzukii, 4098 nucleotides. The record is from RefSeq and is a predicted model, not a curated record. NCBI's taxonomy places the organism in Eukaryota, Metazoa, Arthropoda, Insecta, Diptera, Drosophilidae.
UACAAAAACUAAUGAAUACGAUUCACCAGAACUGGGGCUAUUUAUACCGGAAAACCCAUAUAUUAAUGCCCAAGGGCUGACCAAUCGGAAGCUAUAGGAUCGGUAUAUGGACAGCGGAAAUUGUCGGCCAAUAGAAAUCGUACAAAUCAAGUGACAAUACCAAAAACAGGGGAAGUAACCGCUUAUGGACACCGGAUGCUAGGCAACCAGGAUAAUUGUACUGGAUUGACCAAAACAGAACACUCUAUACGGACCAUAGAAUAGAUAAGUUCCUAUAUACGAAAUGGGGGCGAAUACCCUAUAUACGGAUAUACUACAUUGGUAUCAUUGGAGGAAAGUGCAGUUUUUUGAUUGGAACUUUACAUAUGUGAAAUAUGGAUUCAUUAUAUAAAAUUGGGUACUCUUUCUAACCCCCAACCAAGAUAUGUGGGAUAUGUAUAUAUAAUAUAUAUAGACCCACCAAUUGUAUAGUCAUUUUCCUACAGAGGUGUGUGGGGCUGGGUAAUGAAUUUUAAGUUCGACAUUAGACUAAUAACCAGGCGUUCGAAAUGGGCACAAGAACUGCAGUUUUCUUGCAGCUAUAUGCGUUUCCGAUGGAACUUCAGCUGAUGUUUUCACAUUAUGCAUAUUUCAAAAGCUGAAUAAAGGGAUCAUCAAAGGAGUGAGCUAGCGAAGUUAAGGCAAAAGGGGGCGGAACCCGUUUGUCUAAGAUAGCAAAUCGUUUAACUAUUGAUAGAGCAAUCGCCCUUAUACACCCCCUCGACUAAAUGCCUGUGAAAUGCAACAAAUUGCGCUGACCUGGACAAAUAUCAUUAAGGGGGUCGAUCCACCAUAUCGCCAAUGACGAUGACGUGGCAUUAGACAGGGCAUUCAUUAUACCAAAGGUUCCUCUGACGUCCAUGCAUUAUUCAGGCAAAUUGCAAUAAUUUUAAAACUCCACAGUCCUUCCAAGAUGAACUCCCCCAAGACAUGUGCAUGUUCCACAUCAAGAAUGGGGCCACCCAAUCUAAUAACUAAUGAAACUCUGGGAGUAUUAACAGCCGUUCCCAACGGGUUGGUAAACUAAUUAUAGGGUAAUUUCUGUGACAGCGUUCCUAGACAAAUAAAAUUUAGAAACCCUUAUAAUACCCGAUGAAGAGCAAUUUAAGAAUGGAAAUGGACUGCAGAUUGCUUCCGUCCUUAUCAGCACCUUCUAAUUGCAGUUUGUUUGUGGUCAGAUGGACGAUGGGAGAACUUUUUCCAGCCGCAAUUUUCACAGCUUCCCAGGAGCAAGGACUGCAAGUUAGGCCCAGGGUAACAAAGAGAAAAGAGAAAGGGGUUGGAAGGAGAAAGUUAGCAGGCUGCUUGCAUUCCUGAAAGUGACAUAAAUGACAGCUUUUGACAGCGCACACGCGUCCAACCAACCGCCCACCACCCACCUCCCAAACUCCACCCAUCCAGGAACCCCAACAACAAUAAAGGACAAUAAUUUAAGUUGCUCGGCCAGGUGAGCGCUUGAAACUUCUUUUUUUUCGUGCAUGUAUCCCCUCAGGCCAAUACACUAAUACGCAGGUGGGCUGGCUGACCACAAAAACGCAAACACAACAACUACAGUGGCGGGAAAGAAAAUAAAAUAAAGGCAAAAGGGGAACAGUUGGAGAGUUUAUGUCCAGCGAGACGUGGCAAGCCACAUGAAAACGCGGUUUGUGGCUACCCACCAAAAGCGAAAAAAAACGGGAAAGAAAGUUUACCUCAGCACACUGAAGUUGGUAUACCCUCGCUGAUAUAACAAAACAUGUAAUUCCCAUUAUAGUUAGUUUCUAAAGACAUAAUACCAUGGACUACCUAAGAAUCAACAUUCAAACUUUUAUCAAAUUUUUACCGAAAGUCGAUUAAAACUUUCGAAAACUACAUUUUAUUUGUAUUUCAUCUUUACAAUUUUAAAUGAAUAUGGCAAAUAUACGCUUAUGUUUUUAAAAACUGAAGGUAGAAGAACUUCCUUGUUAGUAAAUGUCUCAUAAAGGUCUCAAACUGCAAUACUGCAACUAACCAAAAUUUCAUUAGGUUUUUGCCAAUUGCGUAAAUCUGAAAAGGACGCGUGGCCUUUAUUUAAAUCAAGCAUACAAAUUACGUUAGUGACAUUUAGAAAACCAUUAUCUGAGAGCAUAAUAUAUAUUUAGAUCACAAUAAAAGUCCGGCAUGACUAUAUUUACUAUUGACGCUGACGGGUAGUUUUAUAUUGAUAAACUUAAGAAUUCCGCCAGAAUUUUCUUAAAAUUAUAAUUAAUUAAACAAUGACCUUUACGUUUUAAGAACCAUCCUUUCCCUUUCACCCAAAAAGGUGUUGAUCCCUAUGUUGAUCCGAGUAUUUUAUUAGUUUUUAUUAUCAAAACAUGUCAAAUGAUUGACAUCCAGGUAAAAAUUCUGGAUUUAAAAAUGUUUUUUUUUUUAAUAUACAAAAAGAUUGUUCUUAAAAUUCUUAAAGUGUCAUCUCUAUUAAUUUUACAUCGCCCUGCAUCAGGGAUCAUUUGUUAAAUACAAUGACGUUAAACAAAUCUGAAGUACAUUAGCAGAUGUCAAUGCAAACCCCAUAAGAGAAACCAACAAAAAUAUAUGAAACACCAAAAAUUAAAGUAUUGUAAUGGGAUAAAUGCUUAAAUAAAUAAAUUUUUCAAUGUCUCAAGUUGAUCCUGUUAUUAUCAAUUUUCUAAGUUUACAUCUUAAAAUCUCUACCAAAAAUGACUAACCUAUAUGAAAAUGCGAUUGGUAUUUAAACUGGUAAUGAUAAAAAUUUAAAGAAAUGCCAUCUAAUGUUUAAUUUAUAGAAAUGUCAUAUAACAUUCGUGACCGCUUUUAUCUGUCACGUGUGUGUGUUCACGCCUAAAGCCGUCCUGUCUCCUCGCCCAUCCUGGCCAUGCUUUUCGCCGGCGUAAUUGGGUGGUGGGUGUAUGCGUUUCAACUCUAUAAUUUAGCGGAAAAACAGCUAAUGGACGUCAUGUCUAACCAAAAAAAAAAAAAAAAAGAAAAGUUAUAGGAAAAAAAAGAGCCCGCAACCAGAGGAAGGAAUCAGGUUGAGGAUAUGACCACAAAAGUUGGGGGACACAAGCGGAAAUGCAUACAAUUGACAAUUCUCAUCGCCCUCGCGCUGCGUGUGUAUUUGUAUGUCCUGUUUGUGCUUUGUGGCCUGUCCACUUCAAGGCUUUUAUGGACAUGUCAGCGUGCUUAGCGAGCAGACUGAACCCACCAACUUCUCCCAUCGCGUGUGGCCGUACAAAUCGGGCGGAUGGGGUAUAAUGGGGAGUUCAGCUGGUCCCUGCGCUAAUAACUAAUGUGCUUAUGGCGUGUGCCAUGUAGUGGUUGCUGCUCUGCUGCUCUAUCCCAUGGUAUUCUAUUCUAGUCCUGUGCUGUUGGGCUCUGCUCUGUCGUCCUGCUAUGUUCCCGGCCAACUUCUACAGUCUGAUUGCUAUACUUCGACUUGUCUUUGGGUGGUACACAAAAAGAAAUGAUCUCAAUGAUAUAAUUUAUUCAGAAAUAUAUUCAUAUUUAUUUAAAACCAAAACGAUAAUAUAAUAACUAGACUAUUAUAUAGUCUUAUCUUUUGAAAGCUCUAAUUACUGUAGAAAUAACAUGUUUAUAACUAUAUCAUUACAAUUAUGAAUCAAUGCACACUCAAAACCAAUACAACAUUUAAAAUUUUCUUAUCUAUAUUUAGAACAUAUAUUGAGAUAUUGAGCUUAAGCCGGCUGAAGUACAUAACAUCCUGAACUAAUUUCAAAUAAGCAAAACUGGUAUAAUAAUAAUAUAUGCAAUCAUUUAAAGUCCCAGAUAUCUUUUAGUGUACUCCACCCCUUCACCAUCGGUCAACCCCUAAAGUUGUUGCAUUAUUAAAAGGCUUCGAUUGAAAAGUACUUUUCUUUCUUCCCAACCAUCCUCCAUACCCAACUCCAUUCUUCAUGCUUUCUUUUAUUGCUUCGGUAUUAUCUAUUUCUGCGUUUGUCAACUGCAUCUCUCGGCAAUCCAUCGCCAGCUAAUUAAUUGGAAAUACAAGAAUUGAAUUGUGCAACAGAAAUACCAGUCAAGGUUUGAAAAUCAAUAAAACUGGCUUGAAUAUGAAACGUG